GUUUAAAAUUUAAUUUUUAAAAGAAAUAACUUUAUUUUUAUUAUUUAUAAAGAAAAAAUAUUUUUAAUUAUAGUAAAUUAGUAUUGUGAAAGAAAGUUUUUGUUUUAAAAAAAAGAAGAAUUAAAUUUUUGUACCUUGUGUUUCAGGGUUUAUUAAAAAUAAAAAUUUAAAUAAAAUUUAUCUCGAAUUAAUAAGAGUUAUGAAUUUAUAAUUUUUAAUGUUGAAUAAUUAUUAAUAAUAAAUUUAUGGAAAUGAAAUGUUAGUCGUUUAUUAAUAUAUCUAGUUUUUUGAGAAAUAAAUUUAAUUUAUACUUUAAAAUAAUUAAUUGUUUUUUUUGUUAAUAAUUGUUUUUAAGGUUAAGUAGUUUAUGGGAUGAGCUAUAAACUAAAUUUGGUAAAAUUGUUAUUAAUAUUUAAAAUUAAUGGAUAGAAUUAGAAGUUUUUAUUUUUAUAGUGUUUAAUAACUAGUUGAUUUGCAAAAUUUUAUUUUUAUUUUUAAAUUUACUUUAUUUAUUGAAUUUAUAUUUUUAAUAAUUGCAAAUAUUAAAUAAUGAUAAAAUUAGUAGGUAAGGUAAAAAUUAGUGUAAUAGUAUAAAAUGUUUUUAAUUAGGAUGUAGAUAGAAUUAAGGAAUUCGGCAAGAUUAAAAGUUUUUCACCUGUUUAUUAAAAACAUGUCUUUUAAGAUUAAUAAUUAAAAGUCAGGCCUGCCCAGUGAAUUUAAAAUUUUAAAUGGCCGCGGUAUUUUGACCGUGCUAAGGUAGCAUAAUCAUUAGUUUCUUAAUUAGAAGCUGGAAUGAAAGGUUUGAUGAGAAAAUUUCUGUCUCAUUUUUAAAUUUUUGAAUUUUAUUUUUAAGUAAAAAAGCUUAAAUUAAAAUGAAAGACGAGAAGACCCUAUAGAGUUUAAUAUUUAUUUAUUAAAUAUUUGUAAAUGAAGAAUUAUUUUUUUUUAAUGAUAAAAUAUUUGAUUGGGGUGAUUUAAAAAUUUAAUUAACUUUUUUUUUGUGAAAACAUUAAUGUAUGAUUGUUUUGAUCCUAAAGUUUAAUUUAGAUUAAAAGAAAAAAUUACCUUAGGGAUAACAGCGUUAUUUUUUCUAAGAGUUCUAAUCGAAGAAAAAGUUUGCGACCUCGAUGUUGGAUUAAAGUUUACUUAUGGUGUAGAAGCUAUAAAGUUAGGUCUGUUCGACCUUUAAAAUUUUACAUGAUCUGAGUUUAAACCGGCGUGAGCCAGGUUGGUUUCUAUCUUUAUUAAAUUAAAGUGUUUUAGUACGAAAGGACCAAAUAUUUCUUUUUUAAAAAGAUUUUAUUUGAAUAAAAUUAAAUGUUUAAUAAAAUAUUCUUAAAUUUAUUAUAUAUAUAUAU
This 1358-nucleotide ribosomal RNA is filed under the name Pityogenes trepanatus. RNAcentral describes it as "16S ribosomal RNA". The stretch from base 1072 to 1230 matches the Rfam family "Bacterial large subunit ribosomal RNA", at positions 2473 to 2632 of the family's 2925-position model. The record is from RNAcentral. Lineage: Eukaryota; Metazoa; Arthropoda; Insecta; Coleoptera; Curculionidae.